CCCCCCUUAAGAACAUUCGUCCCCGAAUGUACCUCAACUAGCACAUAACAUGGCAUAAAACAUAACAUACAUACAAAGCACAUAAACACAAGGAGAUCUAACCUUAAAAGAGAUGAGGGUACUGCUGGAGCAUGGACUCCCGUGUCUCCCAAGUGCAUUCCUCCAAAUUGUGGUGGUUCCACAGGACUUUUACCAUCGGGAUUUCCUUGUUCCUUAACUUU
Molecule: long non-coding RNA, 221 nt
Filed under: Manihot esculenta (cassava)
Lineage: Eukaryota; Viridiplantae; Streptophyta; Magnoliopsida; Malpighiales; Euphorbiaceae
Description: long non-coding RNA (MESC_LNC012656)
Source: RNAcentral